This 370-nucleotide ribosomal RNA is filed under the name uncultured organism. RNAcentral's name for it is "partial 16S ribosomal RNA". It matches the Rfam family "Bacterial small subunit ribosomal RNA", at positions 527 to 896 of the family's 1533-position model. The record is from RNAcentral.
GUAGGGUGCAAGCGUUAAUCGGAAUUACUGGGCGUAAAGCGUGCGCAGGCGGUCCGCUAAGACAGAUGUGAAAUCCCCGGGCUUAACCUGGGAACUGCAUUUGUGACUGGCGGGCUAGAGUAUGGCAGAGGGGGGUAGAAUUCCACGUGUAGCAGUGAAAUGCGUAGAGAUGUGGAGGAAUACCGAUGGCGAAGGCAGCCCCCUGGGCCAAUACUGACGCUCAUGCACGAAAGCGUGGGGGGAGCAAACAGGAUUAGAUACCCUGGUAGUCCACGCCCUAAACGAUGUCAACUAGUUGUCGGGUCUUCAUUGACUUGGUAACGUAGCUAACGCGUGAAGUUGACCGCCUGGGAGUACGGUCGCAAGAUUA